Molecule: long non-coding RNA, 1980 nt
Organism: Camellia sinensis
Lineage: Eukaryota; Viridiplantae; Streptophyta; Magnoliopsida; Ericales; Theaceae
Source: RefSeq, a predicted model, not a curated record
GAUCUUGUUCAAGGUUGCUGGAAAUAGGAUCCGGAACUAUGACUGUCUUGUGGAAGUGACGGCACACGUAGAGAUUACCGUGGAGGUCAAGGAGAAGAGAAUUCGGAGUUCAAGGUCUAGGGGUCAAGGGUCAUACGGGGACUACAGACCCAACAAGAAGAGCAUGAGCACUUUUCCAAGUCAGUCUCAACCGCAGCAGUCUAGAUCCACCUUCCCUUUGCCUAGUGCAGGCCCGGGGAAGAGUGCAUCGAGUGGUUUUUCCUGUUUUAAGUGUGGCCAACCAGGUCACAAAAUUAAAUGUAUCACAAUUGAAAAGUUAGGGACUAAAAUGACACAAAUCCCAAACUACAGGGACUCUGUGUGAUUCAUCCAAAUUAAUCACCAACAAACAAUCAUCCACCAAAAAAAUUUUGAGCAGGGAAAUUAUAUGCAACAUAAAUGACUUGUUCGGCAAUUCCUGUGCACCCAUUUUUAUUUUUAAUUAUUGUGUUUUGGAUUUCUCUCACUCAAAAUACAUUUCUAAAAUGUGAAGCUCUCCACACAAACACUAAUUACCUACUUCCAAUUACAAUCUAUAGACUCUAUAGCAUAAUAAUUGCACCAUUUACUAGUUUUAAAUACAUACAGCCACUUUAACUGGUACCACAAUAUUGGAUCAUUAUAUAUAUCCAAGCACAAAAUGAAUACAACAAGAGACAAUACUAGAACAAACUCUUAUUAGGUUGGUUUGCAGUUCUUCUCGCCUAGAUCAUCAUGACUGGAAUAUUUGCUCUCUUAACUAUACUUUUUUUGGCUUCCCUUCUGACUGAAACCUCUGUCCAUGUCCUUGCAUUAUACGUAUUUGAGGACGCAAUUGUUGAUGGAGGAAACACGCAGCCAACUUCACCACAUGGCAUUGAUCUUAACACGACAAUACCUAUUCGCUGGACCAAUGAAAAAUUAAUGCUGAUUUCAUUGCAAGCUUCCUGGGAUUGCCAUUUCUUCCACCUUCCACAGAUACUUCAGGAUUGGAAAUAUCCAAAACUGAUGUAAACUAUGGACAUGUUGGUUGUGGUUUAUUGCGCCGAACUGGCCCUGUAAUAUAAAUAACAACUUUUUUUUGUUCGAAUUAUUUUACUUCUCUAUAAAUGUACAUGGUGAUUGUAUCAAUUUUGAUUUUAAAUUUAAUUUUAACUUUUGCAGAAGAAUUGUUCUUUUGAAGAUCAGAUAGGCCAAUUUAAUUUAACUGUGGCAAAUAAUCUUACAAAAGCAUUCAACGAACACGAACUUGUCGACAAGUUCUGUUUUUCUUGUUUCAUUGGGCAUAAAUGACUACUACUUCAACUAUCUGUCCUCUAUAAACGUACAUGCUGAUUGUAUCAAUUUUAAUUUUAAUUUUUGCAGAAGAAUUGUUCUUUUGAAGAUCACAUCGGCCAAUUUAAUUUAACCAUGGAAAAUGAUCUUACAAAAGCAUUCAACGAACAAGAACUUGUCCAACAUUUGACAAAUUCUGUUUUUCUUGUUUCAUUUGGCAUAAAUGACUACUCCUGCAACUAUAUGUCCUCCAUAAAUAUACAUGGUGAUUGUAUCAAUUUUGAUUUUAAUUUUAAUUUUUGCAGAAGAAUUGUUCUUUUGAAGAUCAGAUCGACCAAUUUAAUUUAACUAUGUCAAAUGAUCUUACAAAAGCAUUCAACGAACAAGAACUUGUCCAACAUCUGACAAGUUCUGUUUUUCUUGUUUUAUUUGGCAUAAAUGACUACUCCUUCAACUAUCUGUCCUCUAUAAAUGUACAUGGUGAUUGUAUCAUUUUUUCUUUUAAUUUUAAUUUUAAUUUUUGCAGAAGAAUUGUUCUUUUGAAGAUCAGAUCGGCCAAUUUAAUUUAAUUGUGGCAAAUGAUCUUACAAAAGCAUUCAACGAACAAGAAUUUGUCCAACAUUUGACAAGUUCUAUUUUUCUUGUUUCAUUUGGCAUAAAUGACUACUCCUUCAACGAUCUGUCAUC